Molecule: long non-coding RNA, 1428 nt
Filed under: Numida meleagris (helmeted guineafowl)
Lineage: Eukaryota; Metazoa; Chordata; Aves; Galliformes; Numididae
Description: lncRNA (ENSNMEG00000019099.1)
Source: RNAcentral
UAGAUAUCAGUAGCAAUGUUUUGUUAUUGUUGUUUUCGUUUGCUUUUAACUACAGGACCCUCACCAGGUUUUUUGAUGGCAAACAGUGGCUGACACACAGCCUAAUACUGCCAAAGCCAUUGUCACCUCUUCACUUCAGGUUUUGCACGUGUUCCUGCCCACGUGCUGGCCCGGCAAGGGAGAACAGCAGGAAUAACAGAUCUAGGUGAGGUAGGAGUAGAGGACAGAACCAUGUGCUGUAUUAAUUCACUGUCUCCUUCACUUGCAAUUUACUUUGAUAUUUUAGCAUUGGAAUAGAAAACGUCACUUGGACUGCAAAUCAUCUUGUGAACUCUAACAAAUGGUAGAAGGAACCAUAAGAAAGUCUCCCAUAGCUUUACAAGUAAGUUCUUGCAUUUGAUGAAGACAAACCUCCAUGCCACUGAAAUUAACUAGUUAUGUUGUCCAGGAUCAUAUUUUUGGGGGGGAAUUCUUGGCAAAUAAGAAAAACCAAACAGAUGAAAAAGCACUUUAUAAUAGUAUAAUCCUGAAUAUGAUGGCAUUUCCAGACAUUAAAAAAAGCAAAGAACAUACGGAUCUGAUGCAUCAGGAAUAGCAGUUAGAUUUCAUGAGCUGCUACAGGAGAUGGAACUGGGUCCUCUGUCUACCACAGCCCUGCCAUAGUUCUACAGUUUAGUUUUCAGAGCCACCACAUUGCUUUAAUAUCAGAUAACCUGAGACCUCCAAAGAGAGUUCAUGAGCAGAGGGCAAGCAUGUGUUUUGGGACAGCUCUGGUGGACCCAUAUCAUGUCCCAUAGUUAUCCCAAGGUGAGGACAGCUCUGCCCUUGUAGAGAUUUAUGGCUAAGAAGAGUGAGAUGACAUCUCUUUAUGACCUCUGAAUGGUGGCCCAUAUUCUCUGUAGAAUCCAGAAGCCUUGGGAUGUAGAGCUGGCUUCCAAGCCAAUUCAGUUACAGCUAAAUUUCAUUUCUUGCACCUGGUCUGAUGAGAAGGUCACAGCUCCAGAUGGGUUGGAAGAAGGACAUCACUUCCCUGAGCAAUCACUUCCAAACCCCACUAGGUGGCAUCCACGUCCUGGCUCUGACUGAAGGCUCUUCUGCUGCACUGGGAGCUGCAGCCCUUGGAUUUCACUUUUUAAAAGAAAUUAAAAGGUCCAGGAGGCAACUCAGGUUCUUAUUUGAUGCAAGACCUUCUCUGGGUCCCAGAGUCUUUGGGAGCAGAUGAAGAUGUGGAAGAGACCCCAACAUGAUUCUCUCUCCAGUGUCUCUACAGAUAAUCAAGCUUCCAUCUGAAUUUUUAUAUGCACAGCUCAGAUCACACCAUCAAGGAGCCAUUCCAAGGAACCAUACAGGCUUGGUAAAGCAUGAUCUCAUUUACAUAAAUAAGAUGUUUCUUAUAUCAUGAUUUGUGAACUUAUUAUUCCAGUAAAG